This 340-nucleotide unclassified non-coding RNA is filed under the name soil metagenome. Its description in RNAcentral is "partial contains 5.8S ribosomal RNA, internal transcribed spacer 2, and large subunit ribosomal RNA". The stretch from base 1 to 120 matches the Rfam family "5.8S ribosomal RNA", at positions 35 to 154 of the family's 154-position model. The record is from RNAcentral.
GAUGAAGAACGUAGCGAAAUGCGAUAAGUAAUGCGAAUUGCAGAAUUCCGUGAGUCAUCGAAUCUUUGAACGCACAUUGCGCCCUUUGGUAUUCCGAAGGGCAUGCCUGUUCGAGCGUCAUUAUCAACCCUCAAGCCCGGCUUGCUGUUGGGUCCCGUUGGGCGCAAACCUCAACGGACCUCAAAGAAAAUGGUAGAGCCCGUGGGGAUCUGGAUGCAGCGAGCUUCUCAGCACGCAUCACAGCGAUCCUCCGGCUCGGCCUUAAUCGUCAUUUUUCACUGGUUGACCUCGGAUCAGGUAGGGAUACCCGCUGAACUUAAGCAUAUCAAUAAGCGGAGGA